GGUAAAACUGCCCAGGCCCCGGGUAUCAGGAUCAUACUCAAACCCCAACCCCUGCCCGCCCCAGCCAGGAGGGGAGACGGUUGGGAGUGGGAGGCCUCGGCGCUGUUCUCUGGAUGCAACUGAGAUUGCCGCUAGAGGGUGACGCCUGGGUCGGAAUCCAAGGAUUUGUGAAGAGGUGACCCAAAUUUCAAGACAAUGUUGGAUGCAAACGGAUUUGCCAGCAACUGCAUCACUGUCAAAACCAGCUCUGCCCGUGUCUUCCGAAGAUACCAAGUGAAAUACAUGUAGAUGGGAUUUACAUCUGAAAAACCAAGUGAGAAACUGAAGACCAGAGAGGGUGAGUGGUUUACUCAGUUUGGCACAACUGACCCCAACCUAGCCCUCCAUGAGGACUGAGCGCAUGAGAGAUCCUGAGCCACAGCCGCCCAGCCCUGCUCCUCUCGAAUUUCUGACCUACAGGAACUGCAAGAAGUAAUGAAAGACUGCUGUUUAAAGCCACUGCAUUUUGGCAUGAUUUGUUAUGCAGUCGUAGAUAACCAGAAAACAUCGGAUUUACAUUUUAAGGUAAACUUUUUAUUGAAACAUCACAUACACACAGAGACGUCCACCAAUUGGCUCGAUGAGCUUUCUCAAAGGAAACACAUUCUCUGAGCAGUGUGCACAUCCAGACACAUCAUCUCCAUCCUCCAGAAGCCCCCUCCUGUUAUCGCCACUCACAGGUCACCCGUCUCCUGACUUGCAGCCACAGAGAUAGUCCUGCCUAAUUCUGAACGUGGUACAAACGGAAUCAUACAGAAUGGGCUUGGCUUCUUUCACUCUGGGCUGUGUUUAUGAGCAUCACCCAGAUUGCUGCAUGGAAGCCAUCGUUUGUUCAUUUUCACCACCAUAGAGUAUUCUACUGUUGAUGGGACAUAGGCUAUUUAUUCCUUCUACUGUUGAGGGACGCAUAGUUAUUUCCAGCUGGAGACUGGUAUAUGUCUCUUGGCUACCUUCUGCAUGCAUUUCUGUUGGAGGUUGUUUCAGGUAUCUCUUAACGUAUAACAGACCACCCUCAAAUUGAGUCCUUGAAACAAUUACCAUUUUCUUCUUUCUCAGGAUUUGGUGCAUGGGAUGGGCUCAGUUGGGCAGUUCUUCUGUUCCAUGUGAUGGUACUGGGGCUGCAGUCAUUCAGAGGCUCAACUGGGCUGAACGUGCAAGGUUUCUUGCUCACGUGGCCAUCAGUGGUGCUGGCUGCUGUUGGGAGCUCCACUGGACUUCUGUCCAGAGCUCCUCAGCUCACCUCUCUGUAUCCUUGCCCUGUGGCUCAGGCUUCUAACAAUACAGAGGCUGGAUUCCAAGAGGAGGGAAUUAGAAGCGUUCAGCCUUCUUAAGACCAGGAUUCAGAUGUCCCAGACUGUCACUGUAUUGACCGGAGCAUUUACAGGCCAGCCUAGUAAUUUUUCCAUCUUGGGCAGGAAUGGGUGGCAUAUGCUGGGGGUAGGGGUAGCAUUGUUGGGGAUCAUCUUUGGAGCUGUGUGCCAAGGAGUAAAUUGCUGGGCUGCUUUCUACCUGAGGAAGUCCACUAUGCUUGCUUGUGGAGAGUGGAUUGUGUGCUCAGAGUCCACAAGGAUUUAAGAAUCCGAGCCCUGCUGCCCUUGCCUCAGCCUGUGCAUUAGGGCCCGGUGGUGAGAGCACUGAGCCAUUGUGAAUCAAGGCCCCUCCCUCGACCUGCAUACUAACAGGCCAGAAGAGCUUGCUUGAUUUUGGUCCUAGGCUCCUGCCUGUGGGUUGGAUUCCAGGGGCACUCUCUCCUCCACAAACCAGACGGUGGCAGGUACAUCCCCUCAAUGGAAAUUGCCCACACUUCACCCUAAAGACAGAUCCUGCUGUUCAGCAACAAUGUGAGUGGCCCACACAUUUGUCCAGCAUGAAACCGUUUGCAGAUUCCUUUCCAGUACACAGUCCCGUCAGCCGGUCACUUCACGAUGACAGCUCCUCGAAGCACCUUUUGGUUUGCAGUUGUGUAGCUUAGAAGUAGGAGCCUGCACGGCUUCAGGAAUUCACAGAAGGAGCACACUUUGUGCUUGGAGAAGUUAAUUAUAGGAAUAUCCUGCAACCUGCUGCUCUGAGCCUGUGCACCUGGGGUGUUUCCCUGGAGGUCCUGUGUAUGAGGAUACUCAUCAGCAUGGGGUUUGGGAAGCCUAGCAGUGGAGACAACCUAGGUGGUCCUCUCCAGGGGAGUAGGUAAGAGCCCUACAGCAGUGAAAAGCAUUGAAGGAAAAGUGUGUUCAGCAGUGCUCUUAAUCUGAUCAGAGCAGCCUGAACACAUUCUAAACACAGGGCAUUUAGAACUAGGGUAGAGGCACUAGAGCACCAUAGAUACAAACUCAGAUUCUGAAGGUAAAUGCCCAGGUUCAAAUCCAAGCCCCCUCGCCAAGUGACCAUGACUCCCCCGAGUCACCUGACCUCUGUGUUUACAUCCUCAAAGUUAAGUAGUCAGGAAAGGGGGCUUGGGGCUUGCCACAUGGAUGGUUGCCACUCUCCUUUGCAAAGUGUAGUCCCCAAAAACAGGUGGAAGAGGGAAGGGUCCAAUUAGAAGGCCGAGUACCAGCUGCCAUGAAUAUGCCAGAGCUGCUGGCUAGUGAUAAAUAACUGAAACCCAGGGGGACAGCAGAGCUUGGGUGACCAUACAUUCUAGGAAAGAAAACAUGCCUGUUGUCCUGGCUUUUUAUCCAGCUUAGACAAAGAUGGGCAAAGAAAAUAAUUUAGAAAAUGGUAGAGAUGGGCACAGAGAAAGGGCACGGAGGGAGGCACAAACAGAAGGCCAAGUGAUGGUGGAGGCAGACAUUGGAGAAAUGCCUUUACAAGCCGGGGAAUGCCAAGGAUGCUGGCAACCCUGGGAGUGGGAAGAACCUGGAACACACCCUCCGUCAGAGUCUCCAGAAGGAACUGGCCCUUCAUCACCUUUCGGACUUCUGGCCUCCAGAACUGGGCAAGAAAAUGUUUCUGCUGUUGGAGGCCAUCCAGCUGGUGGUCAUUUGUUAUGGUUGCCACAGAAAACGAAUAUAGAUUUAGACAUCUAAUUUGCAUAUAUAGAUAUGCAUGUGUAUUUGUUAAAUAAAAGAUAAAGCAUGACAACUCGA
This 3122-nucleotide long non-coding RNA is filed under the name Homo sapiens (human). Its description in RNAcentral is "PREDICTED lncRNA (TCONS_00105332)". Lineage: Eukaryota; Metazoa; Chordata; Mammalia; Primates; Hominidae. The record is from RNAcentral.